This 2379-nucleotide ribosomal RNA is filed under the name Triticum aestivum (bread wheat). RNAcentral's name for it is "partial small subunit ribosomal RNA". Lineage: Eukaryota; Viridiplantae; Streptophyta; Magnoliopsida; Poales; Poaceae. The record is from RNAcentral.
AUGGGAGGAUUCACGCCUCCAAUCCCGCAGGACGACAGCAACUGGGAGAUCCGCGUGGCGGUGCUGCUCAGCCUCUUCCUCCAGAUGAUCCUCAUCUUCGUCGGCCCCGUCCGCAAGCGCUCCUCCUCCCCCGUCCCCCGCUUCCUCGUCUGGGCAUGCUACCUCCUCGCCGACUGGGUCGCCGACCUCGCCCUCGGCCUCCUCCUCAACAACAUGGGCAACAUCGGCGGCUCCCAGUCCACCUCCUCCUCCACCAUCACCCAGCACGCCACCGGCCUCAAGCGCGGUUCCCCCACCAACGCCGACGCCGGCAAUAGCAGCCCCAUCAUCUUCGCCUUCUGGACGCCCUUCCUGCUGCUCCACCUGGGCGGCCCCGACACCAUCACCGCCUACUCCCUCGAGGACAACGAGCUGUGGCUCCGCCACCUCAUCGGCCUCCUCUUCGAGCUCUUCUCCGCCUCCGUCAUCUUCUUCUGCUCCCUCAAGGGCAACCCCAUGAUCCCCGCCACCGUCCUCAUGUUCGUCGUCGGCAUCAUCAAGUACGGUGAGCGCACCUACUCGCUCUACUCCGGCAGCGUCGACGGCUUCCGGGAGAACAUCCUCGACCCUCCUGACCCGGGCCCAAACUACGCCAAGCUCAUGACCGAGUUCGACGCCAAGGAGCAGGCCGGACUGGUCGUCGAUAUCGUGUUCGCCGGCGCUGACGACGAGGCCAAGAAAGCCCUGGCGGACCUUGAGGAAGGCGAGGCCGCGCGACUCGUGAAUAAUCGCAGCAAGAGCCUUGAGUCGCAGGCGUUCGACUUCUUCCUCAUCUUCCGCCGCCUCUUCGUCAACCUCAUCCUAAGCUACAAGGAGCGCAAGAUCAGCCAAGCCUACUUCCUCGAUCGCGAGGACGUGACCAACUCGCCGGCCAAGGCGUUCCAGGUCAUCGAGGUGGAGCUCAACUUCAUCUACGACAUGGUGUACACCAAGGCCCCCGUCGCCCACAGCAGGGCCGGCUGCGUCCUCCGCUUCCUCGCCUCCGCCUGCCUCGUCUCCUCCCUCCUCAUCUUCUUCUUCCACGGCGACAAGGGCAGCUUCAUGCACGUCGACAUCGCCAUCACCUAUGCGCUGCUCCUGGGCGGGAUAGCACUCGACGGCGUCGCGCUCGCCAUGCUCCUGUCCUCUCACCGGAUGCUCGUCCUCCUCGAGAAGACACGGUGGCUGGAGUGGCUCUCGCGCGCCGUCAGGUCCGUGCGGCCACGGCUGCGGCGCUGGUCAGAGAGGACCUCGCAGCUGAACCUCGUGAGCUAUUGCCUGGGCAAGCCGGACUCUGCCAGCAGCGGCCUCCGCGGCUGUUUGGGCGGCCCGCGGAUGGCCCGGGCGCUCGCCAGGGUCGCGGAGACGCUGCACGUCCGGGAGAUCUUUGACGAUUUCUUCUUCAUCCGGCGCGAGCGCCUCAGCUGCUCGGGUCAGGAGAAGGGACCCCUACUUGAUUUUGUGUUUGGUAGGCUCAAGGAGAGGGCCACCGAAGCCAAGGCCAUCAAAGACACAACGGCGGCGUGCAGCUGCCGCGGCGAGGGAGUCCUUGAGAAGCUUCGUACUCAGAUCAUGGAGAACCUGAAGAAAGCAACACCAGAAGCCGCAGGUGCGAAAGAGGAGGAGGUCAUCAGUAACAAGGACAAGGACAAGGACGCAACACCAGAAGCCGCAGGUGCGAAAGAGAAGGAGGCCAUCGGUAACAAGGACAAGGUGGAAGAGAAGUUGCACGUACUUGAGAGCAGCGUGAACAGAGACAGAGAGUUCGACGAGUCACUGCUGCUGUGGCACAUCGCCACGGACCUGUGCUGCUACCCGUUCCAGCAUACAGCGCCGACCAAGGCUACGAGCAACAUGAAGCCAAUCGCCAACACCCUGUCGGAGUACAUGCUAUAUCUUCUGAUCAAGCAGCCGGAGAUGCUGUCCGCGACGGCGGGCAUCGGGCUGCUCCGCUACCGUGACACGUGCGCCGAGGCCAAGCGCUUCUUCGAGUCAGCGGCGGCGUGGGACCCGGACCAUAAGGACGCGCGGAGGAUGCUGCUGAGCGUGAACACGACAGAGAAGCCGUCGGUGGUGAAGGGCGACAGGUGCAAAUCAGUGCUGUUCGACGCCGUCAUCCUGGCCAAGGUGCUGAGGGAGCUGGGUGAUGAUCUCAUGUGGGAGGUGGUGGCGGGGGUGUGGGGGGAGAUGCUCACGUACGCAGCGGGCAAGUGCCGCGGGAGCACGCACGUCCGGCAGCUCAGCCGCGGCGGCGAGCUCAUCACCAUGGUCUGGUUCCUCAUGGCGCACAUGGGCCUCGGCGACAUGUACCGGAUCCACGAGGGAGACGCCAAGGCCAAGCUCAUCGUCCGUGGCCAGUAG